UCAGUUGGUAGAGCGCAACCUUGCCAAGGUUGAGGUCACGAGUUCGAACCUCGUGUGUCGCU
Molecule: transfer RNA, 62 nt
Filed under: Photobacterium ganghwense
Lineage: Bacteria; Pseudomonadati; Pseudomonadota; Gammaproteobacteria; Vibrionales; Vibrionaceae
Rfam family: tRNA
About the family: Transfer RNA (tRNA) molecules are approximately 80 nucleotides in length. Their secondary structure includes four short double-helical elements and three loops (D, anti-codon, and T loops). Further hydrogen bonds mediate the characteristic L-shaped molecular structure. tRNAs have two regions of fundamental functional importance: the anti-codon, which is responsible for specific mRNA codon recognition, and the 3' end, to which the tRNAs corresponding amino acid is attached (by aminoacyl-tRNA synthetases). tRNAs cope with the degeneracy of the genetic code in two manners: having more than one tRNA (with a specific anti-codon) for a particular amino acid; and 'wobble' base-pairing, i.e. permitting non-standard base-pairing at the 3rd anti-codon position.
Source: Rfam by way of RNAcentral